AGAGCAUAAGUGAAAUAAGUAAACCGAACGUGUCAUGAGAAACUAAUUAGGUCCAAUUUUUAUAUAAUGGUACAAACUAAUUGCUCAUAUUUAUUUUCAUAAUUAUUUUUUCUACUACUCUGACACAGCUACUCAAUAUAUUUUAAACAUAAACCAGAUCAUCUCUAGAAAAUUGCCAAAAUCCGGUUUGAUUCAACAGACAAAAAUAUGUAAUUUAAUCACUAAGAUUGUGAUAAAGGAUGAAUUUUUAAAUAGUGAAGGAUAAUACACAUUCAUCCUUUUCUUCGUCAUGAUAAGUUCUUUCAUAAUAAAUCGACAAAUUAAAAAACAGAAUGCGAUUCCACGAACAAGCAAAAAAAAGUAAACAUUUUCAAUCAUCUUCAUAAGCUUCUGAUCCAUCAGUAAAUUCAGCAUCCAAAUCGGAAUCACUGAGGACCGAUUUUACAGUUGUGUGAUGCCUCUUGUUUUUACGUACCACUUUAGGAGGAGAGGAAGUUUUUAAUUUCUGUGAAUUAACGUUCAUUUUUUCUCCGAGCUUUCUACUUUCACGUUCAUCACUUUCUGAAACAUGGCCUUCAUUAAUUGCAUCAACAACUUUAUCAAUCCAUUCUUGUGAAAGAGCGGUAAUUCCAUCUAAACUGUUGACAAUGUCAUCUUCUCCUAAUCUGUUUUUUAUGUUUUUUAACAUUCUAGGAGUAACACAUCCCCAGUGUUUCCAUGCCCAACUCUGAAAUCUACCAGAAUCCACAAAAGUCCCGAAUCGUACAGUUCCAGCCAGUAUUUUUGACCUAAAUUUUUGUCAGUAGAAAAGAAAUAUCUCUACAAUAUUAGACAUGUAAAUAGCGUUCUGUGAUGGUUUCCAAUCGCCUGCCACGAAAUCGCUAAAAACAAAUGAAGCAAUUUUAUCGAAAGUACCAUCAGCUGUACUGAAUUUGCGCUCAUAUCUCAAUUGUUUUCAGUUUAUGCUAAAACCUUACCGACCACAUAAAGAGCCUUUGCAUUUUGCACGGUUGUUGGGUGCAAUUUCUAUGCGAUAUCCACUUCCACCCUGUUCCAUUAAUGUGCAAUGUUCGUACUGUAAUUUCUUCAAUACUUCUUAAUGUUUCGAAUUGAACUGAAGAUAGAAUAAAAUUACAAAACUUAAGUUUAUUUUAUGAUCAAUCUUGAUAAAUGCAGCUCCUGAUUCUCAAGUUUGUUUAAAAAACAAUAUGGGGAUUCCAACAGAUAGAAACUCGUGAUGAUAUUUCUCAGUAGAAAGCUAAUGUCCAAA
Schizosaccharomyces pombe (fission yeast) is the source of this 1270-nucleotide non-coding RNA. Lineage: Eukaryota; Fungi; Ascomycota; Schizosaccharomycetes; Schizosaccharomycetales; Schizosaccharomycetaceae. The record is from the annotation of a GenBank genome assembly.